AGAGUUUGAUCAUGGCUCAGAUUGAACGCUGGCGGCAUGCCUUACACAUGCAAGUCGAACGGUAACAGGUUAAGCUGACGAGUGGCGAACGGGUGAGUAAUAUAUCGGAACGUGCCCAGUCGUGGGGGAUAACUACUCGAAAGAGUAGCUAAUACCGCAUACGACCUGAGGGUGAAAGCGGGGGAUCGCAAGACCUCGCGCGAUUGGAGCGGCCGAUAUCAGAUUAGGUAGUUGGUGGGGUAAAAGCUCACCAAGCCAACGAUCUGUAGCUGGUCUGAGAGGACGACCAGCCACACUGGGACUGAGACACGGCCCAGACUCCUACGGGAGGCAGCAGUGGGGAAUUUUGGACAAUGGGCGCAAGCCUGAUCCAGCCAUGCCGCGUGCGGGAAGAAGGCCUUCGGGUUGUAAACCGCUUUUGUCAGGGAAGAAAAGGUUCUGGCUAAUACCCGGGACUCAUGACG
RNAcentral lists this ribosomal RNA (464 nucleotides) under uncultured organism. RNAcentral describes it as "bacterial SSU rRNA". It matches the Rfam family "Bacterial small subunit ribosomal RNA", at positions 8 to 484 of the family's 1533-position model. The record is from RNAcentral.